This 500-nucleotide ribosomal RNA is filed under the name uncultured bacterium. RNAcentral describes it as "partial 16S ribosomal RNA". It matches the Rfam family "Bacterial small subunit ribosomal RNA", at positions 30 to 523 of the family's 1533-position model. The record is from RNAcentral.
AUUGAACGCUGGCGGCAUGCCUUACACAUGCAAGUCGAAGGGCAGCACGGGUGCUUGCACCUGGUGGCGAGUGGCGAACGGGUGAGUAAUACAUCGGAACGUACCUUAUCGUGGGGGAUAACGCAGCGAAAGCUGUGCUAAUACCGCAUACGCCCUGAGGGGGAAAGCGGGGAUCGCAAGACCUCGCGCGAUUAGAGCGGCCGAUGCCUGAUUAGCUUGUUGGUGGGGUAAAAGCCCACCAAGGCGACGAUCAGUAGCUGGUCUGAGAGGACGAUCAACCACACUGGGACUGAGACACGGCCCAGACUCCUACGGGAGGCAGCAGUGGGGAAUUUUGGACAAUGGGGGCAACCCUGAUCCAGCAAUGCCGCGUGAGUGAAGAAGGCCUUCGGGUUGUAAAGCUCUUUUGUCAGGGAAGAAACACCGGCUCUAACACAGUCUGGGAAUGACGGUACCUGAAGAAUAAGCACCGGCUAACUACGUGCCAGCCGCCGCAGUAA